UGGGGAAUCUUGCGCAAUGGGCGAAAGCCUGACGCAGCAACGCCGCGUGCGGGAAGAAGGCCUUAGGGUUGUAAACCGCUUUCAGUAGGAACGAAAAUGACGGUACCUGCAGAAGAAGGUGCGGCCAACUACGUGCCAGCAGCCGCGGUGACACGUAGGCACCAAGCGUUGUCCGGAUUUAUUGGGCGUAAAGAGCUCGUAGGCGGUUGAGUAAGUCGGGUGUGAAAACUCUGGGCUUAACCCAGAGCCGCCACUCGAUACUGCUCUGACUUGAGUUCGGUAGGGGAGCAGGGAAUUCCUAGUGUAGCGGUGAAAUGCGCAGAUAUUAGGAGGAACACCGGUGGCGAAGGCGCUGCUCUGGGCCGAAACUGACGCUGAGGAGCGAAAGCGUGGGUAGCAAACAG
RNAcentral lists this ribosomal RNA (404 nucleotides) under uncultured bacterium. RNAcentral's name for it is "bacterial SSU rRNA". It matches the Rfam family "Bacterial small subunit ribosomal RNA", at positions 355 to 775 of the family's 1533-position model. The record is from RNAcentral.